This 207-nucleotide small nucleolar RNA is filed under the name Cladophialophora psammophila CBS 110553. Lineage: Eukaryota; Fungi; Ascomycota; Eurotiomycetes; Chaetothyriales; Herpotrichiellaceae. The record is from RNAcentral.
ACGUCUCUUACCUCGCUCGAUCUGCAUUUCUGGACCAUUGCUUGAUCUUGAGCUGGAUGCUGCCUGCUGUCCCCCUCCGCCCUCCCUGGGCGGAGGGCCGCGCAUGCACGCACGAGACAAGAACAACCUUGCCGAUCUUUGAGUACGAUUCCAUCUUCCCAACGUGGGCGUCAGUGGUGGGCUAUUGUAAUUUAUGCGGCAGGACAC